Molecule: transfer RNA, 95 nt
Filed under: Pseudorhizobium halotolerans
Lineage: Bacteria; Pseudomonadati; Pseudomonadota; Alphaproteobacteria; Hyphomicrobiales; Rhizobiaceae
Description: Rhizobium halotolerans tRNA-Met(cat)
Source: RNAcentral
CGAGCGUGUGGAGCAAGGUUUCCGUUUCAUUGUCGUUCAUACCGGCAGCCGGCUCGUCGAGCAGGAGGAAGCGCGGUUCGGCCGCGAGCGCACGA